Molecule: ribosomal RNA, 402 nt
Filed under: uncultured bacterium
Lineage: Bacteria
Description: bacterial SSU rRNA
Rfam family: Bacterial small subunit ribosomal RNA
Source: RNAcentral
AUUGAACGCUGGCGGCAUGCCUUACACAUGCAAGUCGAACGGCAGCAUGGAGGAGCUUGCUCCUCUGAUGGCGAGUGGCGAACGGGUGAGUAAAGCAUCGGAACAUACCGUGUAGUGGGGGAUAACGUAGCGAAAGUUACGCUAAUACCGCAUACGCACUGAGGUGGAAAGCAGGGGAUCGCAAGACCUUGCGCUAUACGAGCGGCCGAUGUCAGAUUAGCUAGUUGGUAGGGUAAAGGCCUACCAAGGCGACGAUCUGUAGCGGGUCUGAGAGGAUGAUCGCCACACUGGGACUGAGACACGGUCCAGACUCCUACGGGAGGCAGCAGUGGGGAAUUUUGGACAAUGGGGGAAACCCUGAUCCAGCCAUGCCGCGUGAGUGAAGAAGGCCUCGGUUGUAAG